RNAcentral lists this ribosomal RNA (850 nucleotides) under uncultured crenarchaeote. Its description in RNAcentral is "bacterial SSU rRNA". It matches the Rfam family "Archaeal small subunit ribosomal RNA", at positions 71 to 922 of the family's 1478-position model. Lineage: Archaea; Thermoproteati; Thermoproteota. The record is from RNAcentral.
AGCAUACAAGGCAUACGGCUCAGUAACGCGUAGUCAACCUAACCUAUGGACGGGAAUAACCUCGGGAAACUGAGAAUAAUGCCCGAUAGAACAUUAUGCCUGGAAUGGUUUAUGUUCCAAAUGAUUUAUCGCCGUAGGAUGGGACUGCGGCCUAUCAGUUUGUUGGUGAGGUAAUGGCCCACCAAGACUAUUACAGGUACGGGCUCUGAGAGGAGUAGCCCGGAGAUGGGUACUGAGACACGGACCCAGGCCCUAUGGGGCGCAGCAGGCGAGAAAACUUUGCAAUGUGCGAAAGCACGACAAGGUUAAUCCGAGUGGUUUCUGCUAAAGAAACCUUUUGUCAGUCCUAGAAACACUGAUGAAUAAGGGGUGGGCAAGUUCUGGUGUCAGCCGCCGCGGUAAAACCAGCACCUCAAGUGGUCAGGAUGAUUAUUGGGCCUAAAGCAUCCGUAGCCGGCUCUGUAAGUUUUCGGUUAAAUCUGUACGCUCAACGUACAGGCUGCCGGGAAUACUGCAGAGCUAGGGAGUGGGAGAGGUAGACGGUACUCGGUAGGAAGGGGUAAAAUCCUUUGAUCUAUUGAUGACCACCUGUGGCGAAGGCGGUCUACCAGAACACGUCCGACGGUGAGGAAUGAAAGCUGGGGGAGCAAACCGGAUUAGAUACCCGGGUAGUCCCAGCUGUAAACUAUGCAAACUCAGUGAUGCAUUGGCUUGUGGCCAAUGCAGUGCUGCAGGGAAGCCGUUAAGUUUGCCGCCUGGGAAGUACGUACGCAAGUAUGAAACUUAAAGGAAUUGGCGGGGGAGCACCACAAGGGGUGAAGCCUGCGGUUCAAUUGGAGUCAACGCCGGA